Molecule: microRNA, 24 nt
Filed under: Haemonchus contortus (barber pole worm)
Lineage: Eukaryota; Metazoa; Nematoda; Chromadorea; Rhabditida; Trichostrongylidae
Description: hco-miR-5921-5p
Source: miRBase by way of RNAcentral
CUGCAAUGAAAUCUAGUAGACCUA